Molecule: transfer RNA, 77 nt
Filed under: Acholeplasmatales bacterium
Lineage: Bacteria; Bacillati; Mycoplasmatota; Mollicutes; Acholeplasmatales
Description: tRNA-Arg
Rfam family: tRNA
About the family: Transfer RNA (tRNA) molecules are approximately 80 nucleotides in length. Their secondary structure includes four short double-helical elements and three loops (D, anti-codon, and T loops).
Source: RNAcentral
GCACCCAUAGCGCAAUUGGAUAGAGUGUCUGGCUUCGAACCAGAAGGCUGCGGGUUCGAUUCCUGCUGGGUGCGCCA